UCCAGACUCCUACGGGAGGCAGCAGUGGGGGAUAUUGCACAAUGGGGGGAACCCUGAUGCAGCGACGCCGCGUGGGUGAAGAAGCGCCUCGGCGCGUAAAGCCCUGUCAGCAGGGAAGAAAAUGACGGUACCUGAAGAAGAAGCCCCGGCUAACUACGUGCCAGCAGCCGCGGUAAUACGUAGGGGGCAAGCGUUAUCCGGAUUUACUGGGUGUAAAGGGAGCGUAGACGGCAUAGCAAGUCUGAAGUGAAAGCCCGUGGCUCAACCGCGGAACUGCUUUGGAAACUGAGCAGCUAGAGUGCAGGAGAGGUAAGUGGAAUUCCUAGUGUAGCGGUGAAAUGCGUAGAUAUUAGGAGGAACACCAGUGGCGAAGGCGGCUUACUGGACUGUAACUGACGUUGAGGCUCGAAAGCGUGGGGAGCAAACAGGAUUAGAUACCCGAGUAA
This 446-nucleotide ribosomal RNA is filed under the name uncultured bacterium. RNAcentral describes it as "partial 16S ribosomal RNA". It matches the Rfam family "Bacterial small subunit ribosomal RNA", at positions 330 to 793 of the family's 1533-position model. The record is from RNAcentral.